GAUGAACGCUGGCGGCGCGCUUAACACAUGCAAGUCGAACGAAAAGACCAGGUUCUUGUUGUUCAGUCCGUAUCCUCGAACGGCGAAGGAACACGUGACACACCUGCCUUUUAGCCUGAACUUACUUCUGGAAACCGGAGCCUAUAUCUGAUUAUCGAUUGGACCGCAUGGUUGAAUAGGUAAUGGCGAUUGUGCUUUUAGUUAUUGGUGGUGACGCGCCGCCUUAGCUAGUUGGUAAGGUAACGGCUUACCAAGGCAACGAUGGGUAGCCGACCUGAGGGGGUGAGCGGCCACACUGACACUGAGACACGGUCCAGACUCCUACGGGAGGCAGCAGUAGGGAAGCUUCAGCAUGGAGCGAGAGCCUGACGGAGAAACGGCGCGGGAGUGAUGAAGGUCUCCGGAUCGUAAAUCUCUGCUACUAGGGAAGAACAAGUGUGUAAGUAACUAUGCACGUCUUGACGGUACCUGUUCAGGAAGCCACGGCUAACUACGUG
RNAcentral lists this ribosomal RNA (497 nucleotides) under uncultured bacterium. Its description in RNAcentral is "partial 16S ribosomal RNA". It matches the Rfam family "Bacterial small subunit ribosomal RNA", at positions 28 to 507 of the family's 1533-position model. The record is from RNAcentral.